CCACCGAAUACAUUAGCAUGGGUAAUGGAAUAGGACCCUGUCCUCCUAUUUUCAGUUGGUUUUGGCAGCGCGAGGACUAGGGUAAUGAUUAAUAGGGAUAGUUGGGGGCAUUAAUAUUUAAUUGUCAGAGGUGAAAUUCUUGGAUUUAUGAAAGAUUAACUUCUGCGAAAGCAUCUGCCAAGGAUGUUUUCAUUAAUCAAGAACGAAAGUUAGGGGAUCGAAGACGAUCAGAUACCGUCGUAGUCUUAACCAUAAACGAUGCCGACCAGCGAUUAGGAGACGUUGAAUACAAAACACCACCAUCGGUGCGGUCGUCCUUGGCGUCGGUCUUUCGGGGCCGGCGCGGGGACGGCUUAGCCCGGUGGCACCGGUGAAUGACUCCC
This 383-nucleotide ribosomal RNA is filed under the name Acanthamoeba sp. MN-2012. RNAcentral describes it as "SSU rRNA". It matches the Rfam family "Eukaryotic small subunit ribosomal RNA", at positions 792 to 1079 of the family's 1831-position model. The record is from RNAcentral. Lineage: Eukaryota; Discosea; Longamoebia; Acanthamoebidae.